This 385-nucleotide long non-coding RNA is filed under the name Lupinus angustifolius (narrow-leaved blue lupine). Its description in RNAcentral is "long non-coding RNA (LANG_LNC001633)". The record is from RNAcentral. Lineage: Eukaryota; Viridiplantae; Streptophyta; Magnoliopsida; Fabales; Fabaceae.
UGCAACAGUAUUACUAGGCCCUUAUUCGUCAUGACUCAUGAAAACAGCACAAAAAGCAACCAAAGUAUAUCAUAGUAUCAUGUGUUAUUUGUUAUGGUCAGUUAUUUGAGCAAAGUCCUUCAUUCAUAUCAGAACCUGUAAGGGUUGCAUAAUUAAAAGAAGAAUCACUACUUGAGACAACAGAUCCUUGUCCGUGAUGUUGAAGUAUAUAAACGGCUCGUGUACAUAGUCCCUCUAUGUUAUGAUCAGAGAGGAUAUCUUGAACUUGAAGGAAUCCUUGAACUUUAAGAAAAUAAGGCUCCAAUGUAUGUUUAUAAAUGUAAUGUGUGAAGCAUUUGUGUGUAGGACUUUGUCGAAUUUUGUAUAUGUGAAUAGUAAUCUGUUU